This 315-nucleotide ribosomal RNA is filed under the name uncultured Lachnospira sp. Its description in RNAcentral is "partial 16S ribosomal RNA". Lineage: Bacteria; Bacillati; Bacillota; Clostridia; Lachnospirales; Lachnospiraceae. The record is from RNAcentral.
GGAGUUUGGGCCGUGUCUCAGUCCCAAUGUGGCCGGUCACCCUCUCAGGUCGGCUACUGAUCGUCGCCUUGGGGAGCCGUUACCUCUCCAACUAGCUAAUCAGACGCGGGUCCAUCCUAUACCACCUCAGUUUUUCACACAUUAUCAUGCGAUAUCGUGCGCUUAUGCGGUAUUAUCAGUCGUUUCCAACUGCUAUCCCCCUGUAUAGGGCAGGUUACCCACGCGUUACUCACCCGUCCGCCACUAAGUAACGAAAAGCAAGCUUCUCAUCCUUCGCUCGACUUGCAUGUGUUAGGCACGCCGCCAGCGUUCAUC